RNAcentral lists this ribosomal RNA (342 nucleotides) under uncultured Ignatzschineria sp. Its description in RNAcentral is "bacterial SSU rRNA". It matches the Rfam family "Bacterial small subunit ribosomal RNA", at positions 88 to 433 of the family's 1533-position model. The record is from RNAcentral. Lineage: Bacteria; Pseudomonadati; Pseudomonadota; Gammaproteobacteria; Cardiobacteriales; Ignatzschineriaceae.
GCGUCGAGUGGCGGACGGGUGAGUAAUGCAUAGGAAUCUGCCCUAUAGUUUGGGAUAACUACUCGAAAGAGUGGCUAAUACCGGAUGUGGACUACGGUUUAAAGCAGGGGACCUUCGGGCCUUGCGCUAUAGGAUGAGCCUAUGUGGGAUUAGCUAGUUGGUGAGGUAAAGGCUCACCAAGGCGACGAUCUCUAGCUGGUCUGAGAGGAUGAUCAGCCACACUGGGACUGAGACACGGCCCAGACUCCUACGGGAGGCAGCAGUGGGGAAUAUUGGACAAUGGGCGGAAGCCUGAUCCAGCAAUACCGCGUGUGUGAAGAAGGCCUUCGGGUUGUAAAGCAC